Molecule: ribosomal RNA, 776 nt
Filed under: uncultured bacterium
Lineage: Bacteria
Description: bacterial SSU rRNA
Rfam family: Bacterial small subunit ribosomal RNA
Source: RNAcentral
UCUAGAUUAGAGUUUGAUCCUGGCUCAGGACGAACGCUGGCGGCGUGCUUAACACAUGCAAGUCGAACGCGAAAGCCCCUUCGGGGGCGAGUAGAGUGGCGAACGGGUGAGUAACACGUGGGCAACCUGCCCCAUGGAGCGGGACAACCCGAGGAAACUCGGGCUAAUACCGCAUGAUUCGCCGGCACUCAAGUGCCGGCGGGAAAUGGUAGCUUCGGCCUCCGCCAUGGGAUGGGCCCGCGGCGCAUUAGCUUGUUGGUGAGGUAAUGGCUCACCAAGGCGACGAUGCGUAGCUGGUCUGAGAGGACGAUCAGCCACACUGGGACUGAGACACGGCCCAGACUCCUACGGGAGGCAGCAGUGGGGAAUCUUGCGCAAUGGGCGGAAGCCUGACGCAGCAACGCCGCGUGUGGGAAGACGGCCUUCGGGUUGUAAACCACUUUCAGGGGGGACGAAGCUUCCAGGGUUAAUAGCCCAUGGGGUGACGGUACCCCCAGAAGAAGCCCCGGCUAACUACGUGCCAGCAGCCGCGGUAAUACGUAGGGGGCGAGCGUUGUCCGGAAUCAUUGGGCGUAAAGCGCGUGUAGGCGGCUCGUUAAGUCCGGUGUGAAACCUUGGGGCUCAACCCCAAGCCUGCACUGGAUACUGGCGAGCUCGAGUCCGGGAGGGGAGAGCGGAAUUCCUAGUGUAGCGGUGAAAUGCGCAGAUAUUAGGAAGAACACCGGUGGCGAAGGCGGCUCUCUGGAACGGUACUGACGCUGAGACGCGAAAGCGUG